RNAcentral lists this ribosomal RNA (461 nucleotides) under uncultured bacterium. Its description in RNAcentral is "SSU rRNA". It matches the Rfam family "Bacterial small subunit ribosomal RNA", at positions 26 to 518 of the family's 1533-position model. The record is from RNAcentral.
AGAAUCAACGCUGGCGGCGUGCCUAACACAUGCAAGUCGAACGAGAAAGUGGUAGCAAUACCAUGAGUAAAGUGGCGCACGGGUGAGUAACACGUGACUAACCUACCCUGGAGUGGGGGAUAACUGGGAGAAAUCCUAGCUAAUACCGCAUAAUACCUACGGGUCAAAGGAGCAAUUCGCUUCAGGAGGGGGUCGCGGCCGAUUAGUUAGUUGGCGGGGUAAUGGCCCACCAAGACGAUGAUCGGUAUCCGGCCUGAGAGGGCGCACGGACACACUGGAACUGAAACACGGUCCAGACUCCUACGGGAGGCAGCAGUGGGGAAUUUUGCGCAAUGGGGGAAACCCUGACGCAGCAACGCCGCGUGGAGGAUGAAGUCCUUCGGGACGUAAACUCCUUUCGAUCGGGACGAUUAUGACGGUACCGGAAGAAGAAGCCCGGCUAACUUCGCGCCAGCAGCCGC